RNAcentral lists this ribosomal RNA (306 nucleotides) under uncultured Planctomycetota bacterium. RNAcentral's name for it is "bacterial SSU rRNA". It matches the Rfam family "Bacterial small subunit ribosomal RNA", at positions 29 to 351 of the family's 1533-position model. The record is from RNAcentral. Lineage: Bacteria; Pseudomonadati; Planctomycetota.
AAUGAACGUUGGCGGCGUGGAUUAGGCAUGCAAGUCGUGCGAGAACCGUAGCAAUACGGGGAAAGCGGCGAAAGGGAGAGUAACACGUGGGUACCUACCCCUGGGACUGGGAUAGCCGCGGGAAACUGCGGGUAAUACCGGAUAACGUCCCCGGACCAAAGGUGUGAUUCCGCCUGGGGAGGGGCCCGCGUCCUAUUAGCUUGUUGGUGAGGUAACGGCUCACCAAGGCGAAGAUGGGUACGGGGUGUGAGAGCAUGCCCCCGCUCACUGGGACUGAGACACUGCCCAGACACCUACGGGAGGCUG